This 585-nucleotide ribosomal RNA is filed under the name uncultured bacterium. RNAcentral's name for it is "partial 16S ribosomal RNA". It matches the Rfam family "Bacterial small subunit ribosomal RNA", at positions 355 to 1375 of the family's 1533-position model. The record is from RNAcentral.
UGGGGAAUUUUGGACAAUGGGCGAAAGCCUGAUCCAGCAAUGCCGCGUGUGUGAAGAAGGCCUUCGGGUUGUAAAGCACUUUUGUCCGGAAAGAAAUCCUUGGCUCUAAUACAGUCGGGGGAUGACGGUACCGGAAGAAUAAGCACCGGCUAACUACGUGCCAGCAGCCGCGGUAAUACGUAGGGUGCAAGCGUUAAUCGGAAUUACUGGGCGUAAAGCGUGCGCAGGCGGUUUGCUAAGACCGAUGUGAAAUCCCCGGGCUCAACCUGGGAACUGCAUUGGUGACUGGCAGGCUAGAGUAUGGCAGAGGGGGGUAGAAUUCCACGUGUAGCAGUGAAAUGCGUAGAGAUGUGGAGGAAUACCGAUGGCGAAGGCAGCCCCCUGGGCCAAUACUGACGCUCAUGCACGAAAGCGUGGGGAGCAAACAGGAUUAGAUACCCUGGCAGUCCACGCCCUAAACGAUGUCAACUAGUUGUUGGGGAUUCAUUUCCUUAGUAACGUAGCUAACGCGUGAAGUUGACCGCCUGGGGAGUACGGUCGCAAGAUUAAAACUCAAAUGAAUUGACGGGGUCAUAGCUGUUUCCU